Non-coding RNA from Cyanistes caeruleus (blue tit), 1495 nucleotides. Lineage: Eukaryota; Metazoa; Chordata; Aves; Passeriformes; Paridae. The record is from RefSeq and is a predicted model, not a curated record.
UUUCACUGCAAGUUUCUAUUAAAGAUGUAUAUAACUGUAUAUAACUGCUUGUUCUUAUUUUACUGUCUGUAUUUAACUUGUUCUGUUUGCAGGUCCAGCUUCAAUCCUCUUAGUUGCCUAAGAAUAAAUCAUUUUUUAAUGCCAUCUUUUUUCCAUUCAUGGCUUGUACAGUCUUUUUUUCCAUCAGGCAUAAAGAUUACCUGCAUCAGUGAGGCUUUCAGUAUACCUGCUUAUCCCAGACUUCUUCAGAAGGUGUUUAGCAGCUCCAGACCAUGCUCAGUGACUCUACUGAGCUGUGAAAGGAAUAGCAGGGUGAAUUUACCAGGCUUAAGCGAGAUAAAUGGAAUAAAAUAUGGUACAGACAGACUUGGCUGUGUAGAAUAUAAGUAAACAGAUUGUGGUCACUGGAAGUAAAAAGAAUUAAUUUAACAUUAUUUUUGCUACAAUCCUGCAGAUAAGACUGACUAUGUCAAGGGGCUAAAAAUCUAAAUGACCACUUACAGAAUUCCCACUUGAAUAUUUUCACUCUGAAAGAUUUCAAAUAAAAACUUACUUUUCACAGAUAUUAAAGGAAAUAGAAGGUACUAAAAUGCAAGGUACUUUCAGAUUUUGUGAGUGUAGAACUGUGGAGAGAAUAUUCCCAUCUGAACAGCAGGUAAUGAGUACGAUGAUCUCUUGGAAAUAAUAUAUUUUCAAGUUAAUAUCAUGUGAUUUCCCUUUACAUUUUGUCAAUAUAAUGGCACAUGUGGGCCUGAGGUUUACCUUGACUAGCAACAUUAAAGUGAAUUUUGUCUUCUUGUUUUCACUAAUUUAUAAAAGUUUACAUUUCUUGAUAUAAAAUACAUCAUUUCUCACCAGUGAAAGACAUAGCCUGAAUCUUCAGACAGUGUGAAACAAUAGCUCUAAGGAAAAUGUAAAUUCACUUCUGUGGUGUUAUAAUUCUGACACUGAAUCCUGAAAGGUAACAUUUUAAAUGUUUUAACAAAAUUUGGUAGCAACGAAUUUCUUCAGUCUUCACUAACUGAUUUCCUGUUUACUUUUUCCAUAGCACAGUUAUCCAUGAGAGCAUUUACAGCCUGAAUUAAAGUGAAAUCCACUUGUCGGAAGGCUUCUUAUGCUGCCUGCAUUAUAGUGUGCAAUUUAUUAGAAUUAAUUGCCAUCAGUGGAGGAUCAGAGUGACAGCUAAACCUGUGUGUGUUUGACACAGAGCAACCCCACUUCUGCAAACUGAAGUCUACUGUGCUUGAAUAGGAGCCUCUGUGUAAAGCUCUUUAUCACAGUCUGAGUACACUCUAGAUGGGCUCAUUAUGAAUCAAGUUCUCUCAGAACAAAGAGGAAGUGCUCUGCUACAGUGACAUUGUACAUCAUAGAGCCUGGAUAAAGUCAAGAGCUGAUGUAACCUUGACUUUUGACAUGCCAAGAGACUGUUGUCUAGAUAAUGCAAGGUGUGUAAGCCUCUGUCUUUGAUAAGUAAUAAAACAAAUAAUAAAUCUGA